Molecule: small RNA, 111 nt
Filed under: Nonlabens tegetincola
Lineage: Bacteria; Pseudomonadati; Bacteroidota; Flavobacteriia; Flavobacteriales; Flavobacteriaceae
Also listed under: 2 other names
Description: 6S RNA
Rfam family: 6S-Flavo RNA
Source: RNAcentral
ACUCAACACUAUAAUUCUUUAAAAAAGGUGAGUCGUGGUUGUAAAAGCAUGCUGGUCAUAAUGCCAGACCCUUGAUCAAUCAGUUAGCCUUAAACUUUAUUUAAGGAGUUC